GAGUUGUAGCGUGUGCUGCUGGACU
This 25-nucleotide non-coding RNA is filed under the name Cricetulus griseus (Chinese hamster). Lineage: Eukaryota; Metazoa; Chordata; Mammalia; Rodentia; Cricetidae. The record is from RNAcentral.